Non-coding RNA from Sitodiplosis mosellana (orange wheat blossom midge), 80 nucleotides. The record is from the annotation of a RefSeq genome assembly. NCBI's taxonomy places the organism in Eukaryota, Metazoa, Arthropoda, Insecta, Diptera, Cecidomyiidae.
GGCAAAGUGGCCGAGCGGUCUAAGGCGCUGGUUUUAGGCACCAGUUCGAAAGAGCGCGAGUUCGAAUCUCGUCUUUGUCA